Long non-coding RNA from Mus musculus (house mouse), 632 nucleotides. RefSeq annotates it as predicted gene, 38542. The record is from RefSeq and is a predicted model, not a curated record. The transcript is spliced from 5 exons. NCBI's taxonomy places the organism in Eukaryota, Metazoa, Chordata, Mammalia, Rodentia, Muridae.
AGAGAACUAAAGUGUGGCCCAGGCUUGAAAGUCUUGGCCAAUCUAUAGAUUAAGCUCUUGAUAUAUAUCUUACUGAUAAUGAUAUAGAGAAAACUUUCAAAGAAAACUGGAGAUGGGUUGGUGAGAUGGCACCAUGGUUUAAAGGCACUUCCAGUUUUGUAGGGAACCCAGUUUGGUUCCCAGGACUCACUGGCAUUCCCAAGCAUCUUGAACUCCAGUUCCAGAGGGUCCAGUUCCUUAGGGCCUCUGUGAGCACUGGACAUGCACACAAUUCACCAUUGCAAGCACCAAGUGCUCAGUUAGAAAAAACUGGUACAGCUUUGCACAACGGCGACCCCCUCUGUGGAUGCAAGGCCAGACGAGAACAAAACAGAAUCCCACGUUCUCAAACCUUAUCAUGCUGGAGAUGUUUUCCUGGCGUCUCCAUCAUCUAGCCAUCCAUGUGCUAUCUUCAGACUUUGCUGCGAUGGGAACCGGACUCCUCUUUCUCCCUUCCUCAGCCUUCGCUGGAAAGGUUUUGCCUUAUGGUUUCUGGAGAAAAAGGCUACAAGUCUGUUUGGAUGGCGCCCGGGGUCCCCGUAGAAGCAUCGAGGCGUUCCUGCGAUAAAGGCUGUUGAGAAGAAUCCGACUGU